GUGAGCUCGGAAGAGGUAACUACUUUAAUGGGCGGCCGGCGCGAUGGGCCAGAUAAUCUCAGGCGAAUAGCUUGACGGGAGGGCUCCCUUCUUGAAAUUGGGUGGGGAAUACAACAAUAUUAUUCCGCAAUAUUAUUCCGCUAAGGGGUUCUUGGGGCGGCCUGAGAGGCCUUUUUCAUGGGGGUCUUUUUCCAUUGGGAGGGCUUACGUUUGUA
Pelobates cultripes (western spadefoot toad) is the source of this 215-nucleotide non-coding RNA. NCBI's taxonomy places the organism in Eukaryota, Metazoa, Chordata, Amphibia, Anura, Pelobatidae. The record is from the annotation of a GenBank genome assembly.